Small nuclear RNA from Macaca fascicularis (crab-eating macaque), 105 nucleotides. NCBI's taxonomy places the organism in Eukaryota, Metazoa, Chordata, Mammalia, Primates, Cercopithecidae. The record is from Ensembl.
GCAUUCGCACUGGCAACACAUAUACUAAAACCAGAAUGAUACAGAGAAGGUGGUAUGGCACCUGUGCAAAGAUGGCAUGCAAAUCGUGAAGCGUUACAUUUAUUU